RNAcentral lists this transfer RNA (60 nucleotides) under uncultured Enterococcus sp. It matches the Rfam family "tRNA", at positions 12 to 63 of the family's 71-position model. Rfam says of the family: Transfer RNA (tRNA) molecules are approximately 80 nucleotides in length. Their secondary structure includes four short double-helical elements and three loops (D, anti-codon, and T loops). Further hydrogen bonds mediate the characteristic L-shaped molecular structure. tRNAs have two regions of fundamental functional importance: the anti-codon, which is responsible for specific mRNA codon recognition, and the 3' end, to which the tRNAs corresponding amino acid is attached (by aminoacyl-tRNA synthetases). tRNAs cope with the degeneracy of the genetic code in two manners: having more than one tRNA (with a specific anti-codon) for a particular amino acid; and 'wobble' base-pairing, i.e. permitting non-standard base-pairing at the 3rd anti-codon position. Lineage: Bacteria; Bacillati; Bacillota; Bacilli; Lactobacillales; Enterococcaceae. The record is from RNAcentral.
UCAGUUGGUAGAGCAUCUGAUUUGUAAUCAGAGGGUCGAGGGUUCAAGUCCUUUAGCCGG